UUAUUUUGUUUCCGUUUUUGAAAUGCUUUACUCAAACUGAUAAACUAUGUUGGAUGAGCUUUUCUUUCCAUGACCCCAUUGAUGUGAUAACUCUUUAAACUUAUGUUGAAUCAAUUGCAGUGAGUUAUAUUCAUGUUUGAGAAUUACCUUUUGAAUUGAAUCUUUGAGUUUGCCAUAGUGAAAAAUAUAUUGAUGACCCUCAAUUGAGAGAAUAAAUUGAAAUUGUGUGAAUGAACUUAACAUGACUUGAUUUAGCAAUUGGUGUUGAUUUGCCCAAAUCAUUGAGAGAAAGAAAUUCAGCAAAGGCAAAGCCCUCAAAAGCACAAAUUUAAAAAACUGUUCCAAUGGUCAAAAGACCAAGAACAAGGCAACUAGCCACUUGGAUAGGUGACCAACUGAAAAAUCUAAAAGUGUUACAUCAAAACUAGGUUGGUGACCUUUCCAAGCAAGAUCUGAAGUGCAAAAGCCUGAAUAAAGUAUUUCAAGGUAAGGGCAAGUCACUCUGAAAGCUAGAAAAAGUCUUAUCUGAAUAAAUAAUGUGCAUGUAUGGUGUCUCUUGAGGAAAACAAAUCCUAGCUAUGGUAAGUUAAGGGAAAUAAGGAGAAAGGUAAGUAAUCUUCAUGCAUAUAUUCUUAACUGCAAUGAUUCAAAAUAGGUGUCU
Molecule: long non-coding RNA, 661 nt
Filed under: Manihot esculenta (cassava)
Lineage: Eukaryota; Viridiplantae; Streptophyta; Magnoliopsida; Malpighiales; Euphorbiaceae
Description: long non-coding RNA (MESC_LNC009485)
Source: RNAcentral